AGAAUGACUCUCAGCAACGGAUAUCUAGGCUCUUGCAUCGAUGAAGAACGUAGCGAAAUGCGAUACUUGGUGUGAAUUGCAGAAUCCCGUGAACCAUCGAGUCUUUGAACGCAAGUUGCGCCCGAUGCCAUUAGGUUGAGGGCACGUCUGCCUGGGUGUCACAU
RNAcentral lists this ribosomal RNA (164 nucleotides) under Lathyrus pannonicus subsp. varius. Its description in RNAcentral is "5.8S ribosomal RNA". It matches the Rfam family "5.8S ribosomal RNA". Rfam says of the family: 5.8S ribosomal RNA (5.8S rRNA) is a component of the large subunit of the eukaryotic ribosome. It is transcribed by RNA polymerase I as part of the 45S precursor that also contains 18S and 28S rRNA. The record is from RNAcentral. Lineage: Eukaryota; Viridiplantae; Streptophyta; Magnoliopsida; Fabales; Fabaceae.